Molecule: ribosomal RNA, 404 nt
Filed under: Rhipicephalus sp.
Lineage: Eukaryota; Metazoa; Arthropoda; Arachnida; Ixodida; Ixodidae
Description: SSU rRNA
Rfam family: Eukaryotic small subunit ribosomal RNA
Source: RNAcentral
UCUGGUUGAUCCUGCCAGUAAUCAUAUGCUUGUCUCAAAGAUUAAGCCAUGCAUGUCUAAGUACAUGCCGAAAUAAGGCGAAACCGCGAAUGGCUCAUUAAAUCAGUUAUGGUUCCUUAGAUCGUUUCUUCCUACUUGGAUAACUGUGGCAAUUCUAGAGCUAAUACAUGCAGUGAGCCUGGAGCCCUUUGGGUAACGGGUGCUUUUAUUAGACCAAGAUCGAUCGGGUUUCGGCCCGUAUUGUGUGGUGACUCUGGAUAACUUUGUGCUGAUCGCAUGGCCACGAGCCGGCGACGUUUCUUUCAAGUGUCUGCCUUAUCAACUUUCGAUGGUAGGUUACUUGCUUACCAUGGUUGUUACGGGUAACGGAGAAUCAGGGUUCGAUUCCGGAGAGGGAGCCUGAG